RNAcentral lists this ribosomal RNA (500 nucleotides) under uncultured bacterium. RNAcentral describes it as "partial 16S ribosomal RNA". It matches the Rfam family "Bacterial small subunit ribosomal RNA", at positions 30 to 523 of the family's 1533-position model. The record is from RNAcentral.
AUUGAACGCUGGCGGCAGGCCUAACACAUGCAAGUCGAGCGGAUGACGGGAGCUUGCUCCUGGAUUCAGCGGCGGACGGGUGAGUAAUGCCUAGGAAUCUGCCUGGUAGUGGGGGACAACGUUUCGAAAGGAACGCUAAUACCGCAUACGUCCUACGGGAGAAAGCAGGGGACCUUCAGGCCUUGCGCUAUCAGCUGAGCCUAGGUCGGAUUAGCUAGUUGGUGAGGUAAUGGCUCACCAAGGCGACGAUCCGUAACUGGUCUGAGAGGAUGAUCAGUCACACUGGAACUGAGACACGGUCCAGACUCCUACGGGAGGCAGCAGUGGGGAAUAUUGGACAAUGGGCGAAAGCCUGAUCCAGCCAUGCCGCGUGUGUGAAGAAGGUCUUCGGAUUGUAAAGCACUUUAAGUUGGGAGGAAGGGUUGUAGAUUAAUACUCUGCAAUUUUGACGUUACCGACAGAAUAAGCACCGGCUAACUCUGUGCCAGCCGCCGCCGUAA